GAGGAUGUAGCUCAGUGGUAGAAUACAUGCCUUGCAUGCCUGAGGUCCUGGGUUCAAUCCCCAGUGCCUCCA
Camelus ferus (Wild Bactrian camel) is the source of this 72-nucleotide transfer RNA. It matches the Rfam family "tRNA". From Rfam's summary of the family: Transfer RNA (tRNA) molecules are approximately 80 nucleotides in length. Lineage: Eukaryota; Metazoa; Chordata; Mammalia; Artiodactyla; Camelidae. The record is from Rfam.